ACGUAGGGGGCUAGCGUUGUCCGGAAUCAUUGGGCGUAAAGCGCGUGUAGGCGGCCAUCCAAGUCUGAUGUGAAAGCUCGGGGCUCAACCCCGAGUCUGCAUUGGAAACUGGGUGGCUUGAGUCCGGAAGAGGAGACUGGAAUUCCUGGUGUGGCGGUGUCAUGAGCAGUGAUAAUGAAGAGCCGCGGUGGCGAGGGCGGGUCUCUGGGACGGUACUGACGCUGAUCCGCAUGAGCGUGGGGACCAAAAAG
Molecule: ribosomal RNA, 251 nt
Filed under: uncultured prokaryote
Description: partial 16S rRNA
Rfam family: Bacterial small subunit ribosomal RNA
Source: RNAcentral